This 510-nucleotide ribosomal RNA is filed under the name uncultured bacterium. RNAcentral's name for it is "partial 16S ribosomal RNA". It matches the Rfam family "Bacterial small subunit ribosomal RNA", at positions 28 to 507 of the family's 1533-position model. The record is from RNAcentral.
GACGAACGCUGGCGGCGUGCUUAACACAUGCAAGUCGAACGAAGAGCGAUGGAAUCUUGCUUCUAUCAAUCUUAGUGGCGAACGGGUGAGUAACGCGUAAUCAACCUUCCCUUCAGAGGGGGACAACAGUUGGAAACGACUGCUAAUACCGCAUACGAUCUAAUCUCGGCAUCGAGGAUAGAUGAAAGGUGGCCUCUACAUGUAAGCUAUCACUGAAGGAGGGGAUUGCGUCUGAUUAGCUAGUUGGAGGGGUAACGGCGCACCAAGGCGAUGAUCAGUAGCCGGUCUGCGAGGAUGAACGGCCACCUUGGGACUGAGACACGGCCCAGACUCCUUCGGGAGGCAGCAGUGGGGAAUCUUCCGCAAUGGACGAAAGUCUGACGGAGAAACGCCGCGGGAGUGAUGACGGCCUUCGGGUUGUAAAGCUCUGUUAAUCGGGACGAAAGGCCUUCUUGCGAAUAGGGAGAAGGAUUGACGGUACCGGAAUAGAAAGCCACGGCUAACUACGUG